Molecule: long non-coding RNA, 642 nt
Organism: Panicum virgatum (switchgrass)
Lineage: Eukaryota; Viridiplantae; Streptophyta; Magnoliopsida; Poales; Poaceae
Exons: 3
Source: RefSeq, a predicted model, not a curated record
ACGGUUGUUACGAGAGGAAUGCAGGCAGGCUCGAGAGGUCGAGGACGACGACCGCCGUUCUCUUGCGGCGCCGCCGCGAGCUGCAUCUCUUGGAGCGGGCCUUCGGCAAGCCUCGGAUGAAUUUUGAUCCGAGGUUCCUCCCGCGCUGCUUCACCUCCAGUGGAUUCGGAUCCAGCAUGAUCUGAAGUCACAUCGGAAUUUUAACAGAACCAAUUUUGUGCGUCAAGAUUUCCGUACUAGGACACAGGUCAACUUCAACAAUACAGAUAAUGGUGGGACAAUGACAGCUGGUGGAGAGAGACCUCUCAACCUUGGGGAGCUGCUUCCUUUCUCCUCUUCGUGUGUCUUUAAGGAACUUGAACAAUAUUCACAGAGGAAAAAGAGAGAUUUUGUCCAUGUCUUACUGAAGAGAAAUAAGACACUGCUCCAGGGAGAGGACAUGAAUGCACAGAAGAUGCAGUGAAAAUGCAAUUUUAUGUUUUGAACCUGAAUUCUGCAAAUUGGCACUGCUCCAGGGAGAGGACAUGAGUGCAGUUUCGCCCACCAGCACUAGUCAGUAAACCACAGCCAAACUUUCAGGAACAUGAGGCAUUGUCAACUGAGUCAAUUAUGUGAAGUAAAAUUACUGAUACAACAACACAG